GAUGAAGAACGUAGUGAAAUGCGAUAAGUAGUGUGAAUUGCAGAAUUCAGUGAAUCAUCGAAUCUUUGAACGCACAUUGCGCCCCAUGGUAUUCCGUGGGGCAUGCCUGUUCGAGCGUCAUUUACCCCCUCAAGCUCCGCUUGGUGUUGGGCGUCUGUCCCGCUUCGCGCGCGGACUCGCCCCAAAGGUAUUGGCAGCGGUCGUGCCAGCUUCUCGCGCAGCACAUUGCGCUUCUCGAGGCACCGGUGGGCCCGCGUCCAUCAAGCUCACCCCCCCAGUUUGACCUCGGAUCAGGUAGGGAUACCCGCUGAACUUAAGCAUAUCAAUAGCGGAGGA
RNAcentral lists this unclassified non-coding RNA (336 nucleotides) under soil metagenome. RNAcentral's name for it is "partial contains 5.8S ribosomal RNA, internal transcribed spacer 2, and large subunit ribosomal RNA". The stretch from base 1 to 120 matches the Rfam family "5.8S ribosomal RNA", at positions 35 to 154 of the family's 154-position model. The record is from RNAcentral.